CCUACGGGAGGCAGCAGUGAGGGAUAUUGGUCAAUGGGGGAAACCCUGAACCAGCAACGCCGCGUGCGGGAAGACGGUUUUCGGAUUGUAAACCUCUGUCCUCUGUGAAGAUGAUGACGGUAGCAGAGGAGGAAGCUCCGGCUAACUACGUGCCAGCAGCCGCGGGAAUACGUAGGGAGCAAGCGUUGUCCGGAUUUACUGGGUGUAAAGGGUGCGUAGGCGGCUUUGCAAGUCAGAAGUGAAAUCCAUGGGCUUAACCCAUGAACUGCUUUUGAAACUGCAGAGCUUGAGUGGAGUAGAGGUAGGCGGAAUGCCCGGUGGAGCGGUGAAAUGCGUAGAGAUCGGGAGGAACACCAGUGGCGAAGGAAGCAUACCGGCGCGCAACUGACGCUCAUGCACGAAAGCGUGGGUAUCGAACAGGAUUAGAUACCCUGGUAGUC
This 440-nucleotide ribosomal RNA is filed under the name uncultured bacterium. RNAcentral's name for it is "partial 16S ribosomal RNA". It matches the Rfam family "Bacterial small subunit ribosomal RNA", at positions 338 to 795 of the family's 1533-position model. The record is from RNAcentral.